UACUGUAUCUGGCAUGGUUUCAUAAGAAUAUAGAGCUAGAUAGAACUUUUAACUUUUAAGUUUUUUCACACAUUUCAGGGCCACUCAGUUCCCGGCCAACCCCUUAUAGUUUAAGUUGAUUAUAUUCAUUAAAGACAAAUAUAGUGAAUUAAAUAAUCAUAAAAAAACAAAAACAAAAUUU
This is a long non-coding RNA of Larimichthys crocea (large yellow croaker), 181 nucleotides long. RefSeq lists it as uncharacterized. Lineage: Eukaryota; Metazoa; Chordata; Actinopteri; Sciaenidae. The transcript is spliced from 3 exons. The record is from RefSeq and is a predicted model, not a curated record.